AAUAGGUACGUCAGUAAACUCAGCUCUAUUGUAUUUCACCACGGGGAAAAUAUUAUAAAGAUGCAGCAGGAGACAAGGUACUUUACUAGAGCAACAUGGCCAUGUGGAAUUGCAUGUCUCCAGGGUCCUGGGCUAGCAUCAUUAGAACCAAAUUGCAGCAAGGCUUGUGUGCUGGUGAAGGGAUAGUGCAGUUUUUACCACUCUGCAUUGUGGAUGGCAUCCCAGAGGGUGAGUCAGGCUUCUUGGAGCUAUUCCAACUCCUACCUUGUCCCUCUGUGGCUGUGCCACCGCUGGAGAAGUGAGAGAAUGAAGGGAAAAAAGUAUAUAAAACCAAGUCACUGUCCCUCAUAUGACCCCUGCUGGACUCACGCAAAAUAAGCAUUAAAUGCUUAACAGUAUGGGACUGCCCUUUCUAAUGGUGUUCUUUAAUUUGCUGCUGUUUUACCAAGAUAUUUAGAAAAGCCCACAAAGAGUAGAAGAGAUAUUUUUGCAGAGGGACACCUGGAGGGAUCUCACUGGAGUAGGUACAUUUUUUUAAUGGCUGUGCCAGCACAGGUGAUCCCCACAUGGUUGUCUGAUCUAAAGGAGGAAGUGGAAAACAAGGCACAGAGGCUGGCCUAACUCUAUCGGCUGACAAGUUGGGAAAUGCAGAGUGACACUGGGUUCAAGACAAUCCAGUGCAACAGCAAUGUGGGAAAGGGGACAGCAUAUUGAGCAAAUUAAAGCCGUCAUGAAGCAAAGGAAUAAGAACAUUCCACAGAGGACAACAUGUACAAGCAGUUUAGUUACGUUUUCCUACAGUCCUCCUUCCCUGGUGCACUCACGUGAGUGUAGUUUGUUCUCAAACAGAGAAGAAGUGAUUUCACCAGCUCCUGUGGGAAAAAUUCCAACCUCAAGCCAACUUGUGCAUCUUUGCUGGAGCUGUGUGGUCUGAAUUAGGGGUGGCAGAAGAAGCAGUCUCCCCUUCCUGUAAGCAAAAGACGAAUGAGUGUGGUACCAGAUGAAAGGCAGUGCUGAGACUAAUGCAAUUAGUUUAUAGGGGAACCUCCACCCAAAUCAGUUUUAUUUGUCUCCCAGCUACAAAUGAAAUUCAUUUAUUUUGGACUUCCCGACAGAUUCAAAUGUGUCAAAACAUGAGGGUCAUGAAGGUGGUUGUUCUGCAUCGACAAAUGUGUUUGUAGUGGCACACUGGUUUAAAUCAACAGAUUUCAAACAGAUUUUGUAUUGAAGUUUAGGACAGAGUUGAACCUAAUUUUCAUGAAGAGAGUUGUGGUGUGUGAACAGAUUUAUAUGGCUGGUCAGUAGCUAGAAGCAAAGCCAUUAAUGUUUGAACAUCUCUGGAUGUUAUCUGGGAAACUGAAAAAGCAAUUAAAUGUUUGGAGAGACAUUAAAGGGGAGAAAAUAAAAUCAAAUACAAAACAAAGGCUGUGGGAAUUGAGUGAUAUGAGGAAAGAAGACUGGAGAGAUGUUUGAAGAGGAAGCUGUGAUAGAAUGGAAUAAUACUGAUUAGAGGACAGGACAAUGGAAGUGAAUAAAGUUAAAAUCAGACAAAGAACUCCAAACUCAUCCUCUUUAAAGCAGUUUCUUUCCUAGGUCCUAGGGUGCAGGUGCCAGGCCUUUUUCCUGUAUUGACAAGAAAUUCAUUAAUAUAAAUUGGGAUGAGAUAAAGAUAUGCUAAUUAAAUGAGAGCCUUGAGUCAUCUGAAGUGUGAAGUUUGCUCUACAGCUCUUUGUCAUUUUUCAGGUAAGAAUCUUAUAUUCUCUUGCAAAGGUCAGCUACCAGAAAGAUGGUGCUUAGAGAAACAUUAGGAUGUUUAAAUAGGUUAUCUGUGAAAAUGAUAACAUCAUUUAUAAGGACAAGAAGUAAAGCUGGAUGUAUUGUUGGGUUUUGCACAUCAAAUGCAAAUUGGACAUUGGUAUCAGAUAAAAUUUCUCGUAUAUAUCGAUUAACUGCAAGAUGAAAGAGAAGCAUAAGACUUACAUUGAGUUGGAUACACCUUUUCAUAAGUGGUGUUUCUGUAAUGGCUAGUGGCCGUAAAUUCAUAUAUCUGUAUUUCGUUUAUUUGUGUUUGAAUGUGUAUGUAAGUACAGCUUGUUUUAUAGAUGGAUACUGCUAAAUGCUGUUAUAUUUUUGGGUUCCAGUAAAGUGAAAAAGCUAGAGCUCUAAGAGCAACUUAAAAUAAAUUUUUCUUUGGGGACACUAAUUAUAGAGAUUUGUGAUGUAUACGAUUUAUAGAAGUGCUUUAACUACGCUGUCCAUGGAAAUUUGUACUUACAGCACAGAAUUAGUACUUAAAGUCUUGAAUACCAUACUCAUAUUUUUUACUUUCAAAGCAUUUUUUUUUUUAAUGAAAUCUCUUAAAACGUAAUACAACUGAUGAACUCAUUGUAGCAACUUUACUUAGUCUCCAUCAUGUACAUAAAUGCUUUUACAUUUAGAGUUGUUUUAUACUGGGAUGUUAUGAUACAUUACAUUCAGCUAUCUAGGUCAAAUCAUAUUAGUUAUUUAUAUUUAAUAAGUCUAAAAAGAGUUUGAGUGUUUGGUGUGUACAUUUUUCCCCAGAUAACAAGCAGGAUGGCAAUGCAGUUAUCCAAUGGGUCUGUUGGUUGUCAUGGCACUUGGUACAAAGAAGUGGAGCUGUCCCAGCCCCACGCUAGGGGAAUUCAAAAUGAAAAUAAGGACAAUUAGCAUGAUCCUACAGGAUUUCCUUUUCUCCAGCUGCAUUUGCAAAUAAGUAUUUACAUUUAUGGGAUGGAAUUCAGUGACAAGAAUAAUCUGAAAUUAAAUUAUGAGAUAGAGUGCUUGGAACAGUCAGCUGUAGAAAGGAAGCAGAGUAAGAGAGAACAAUCUAUCCAGGACGCUGCCAGGCCAGGCUGCAGAGAAGUGACAAUCUAUAUUCAUUAAAGAUAUUUAAUAAUUUUCUAAAAAAAUAAAUGUAAAAAAUAUCUCAAGUCAGGAAAUAUGAACCUUAUAUUGAUUAAGCAUUUGAAAAGGGAUUUUUCUCAAUAAAGGAAACCAUAUUUUCUACUCA
Neopsephotus bourkii (Bourke's parrot) is the source of this 3031-nucleotide long non-coding RNA. RefSeq lists it as uncharacterized. The record is from RefSeq and is a predicted model, not a curated record. NCBI's taxonomy places the organism in Eukaryota, Metazoa, Chordata, Aves, Psittaciformes, Psittacidae. The transcript is spliced from 4 exons.